RNAcentral lists this RNase P RNA (403 nucleotides) under Verrucomicrobiota bacterium. RNAcentral describes it as "RNase P RNA component class A". It matches the Rfam family "Bacterial RNase P class A". Rfam says of the family: Ribonuclease P (RNase P) is a ubiquitous endoribonuclease, found in archaea, bacteria and eukarya as well as chloroplasts and mitochondria. Its best characterised activity is the generation of mature 5'-ends of tRNAs by cleaving the 5'-leader elements of precursor-tRNAs. The record is from RNAcentral. Lineage: Bacteria; Pseudomonadati; Verrucomicrobiota.
GCGAUGACAGAUGAUCGCUGGCGAGUCGUUAGACUUGCUGGAGGAAAGUCCGAACACCAGACGGCAGCAUGCCGCGUAGAACACGCGGGCAGCGUUCGCCCAAGCGGGCGCUGACGGAAAGUGUCGCAGAAAAGACACCGCCGGUUCUUUGGCAACAAGGCGCAGGUAAGGGUGAAAUGGCGAGGUAAGAGCUCACCGCGCGCGGAGCAAUUCGCGCGGCAGGAAAAACCCCAUGCGGUGCAAGACAGAACAGAGGGAGGGCAGCCGGUCCGUUGAUCCUCGGGUUUCGUCGCAUCACGCUUUCGCUUCAGCGGGAGCGGGCGGCUCACGCGAGUGGGCUGAGAUAAAUGAUCAUCCGCUCGAGCAAUCGGGCGACAGAAUUCGGCUUAUCGUCAUCACAAAU